Molecule: long non-coding RNA, 351 nt
Organism: Mauremys reevesii (Reeves's turtle)
Lineage: Eukaryota; Metazoa; Chordata; Testudines; Geoemydidae
Exons: 3
Source: RefSeq, a predicted model, not a curated record
GCUAGAAGAUCUGGGAUAUCUACAGAAAGGAAACAAGCAAAAUUCAUCACUGCUACCAAGAGGAGGAGAGUUACAGAUGCUCAGGAUUUGAGUACAAAGGAAUAGGAAUAGAGCUGAACAGAUUCAACACCAGAAAGGACGAUUGGAUCUCAAAAUAUGAAAGUCCCUUCAUUCAAUAAAGCAACAGGAUUGGCUCUGAGGAGCGGUAAGCAACAUUUGAUGAAGGAAACAGGCAGCGUGGACAGUAUUCAAGACACAAUGUUUAAAAGUUGCUGCUGGGAUGGAAGCAAAGAAGAAAGCCCUGGAGAUGGGUUAGUGCUGGGACACAGGCACUAUCCUGGAGGGCCUGGG